AUGGGAAUGAGCCCUCCCUGCAGAACAGGCCCACGCGAUGGGGCGGGAUGGGCUUUCGCACAUCCGAGCCCCCCCCCGCACCAGGGUGCCCGGGGCACGCUCCGGCCGGGCGCACGGGGAUGCGGCUUUGGGGUCACCGGGCGGGAGGCACUGCUGGAGCGCACCCACCGGCCGCAGCUCCCAGGCUCCGUGGACGGGGGAUGCCGAGGGGUGGGAAAAGGCUUCUGCUGCCUAAACAGAUCCCGUUCAGCCCACGCCGCUGCGCUAGCAAUACGGGCAGAGCAAAGCCCAGGGCCGGCACCGAGCUCUCCAUCCCCAGCGCGUCGGGUGGGUGCCAGCUCCGUCCUCCCCUCCGCGGGGCAGCCGGGAGCAUUUUGGAGCAGCACCAAAGCCCGGCUGGGGGGCGGUGAGAAGCAGAGCCCCCCAGACGCUGCCUCACCCGCAGAGCACGGGCUGUGCGCUCGCACGGAGACCCCGAGGACCUGCCCCAGAAGCGCCCUGGCAUCGCUGCCGCGUGCGCCCUCGGAAACCAGCGCCCGGAGAUGUCAGACGGACAUUUCGCGGUGUCCAGGGCCGGUCGGUCGGUUUGUUCGUUCGUUUUCCUUGGAAGCAGCACGUCGGGACAUCCAUCCAGAGCCCGGCCGGGGCUUUUCAGGCGCGGCGCUGCUCGGCGGGCCGGGGGCCGCUGCCCCGGGCGCGGGGAGCGCAAGGCCCCGCUUCGCCCUCCCCGCUGCCGGCGCCGGGCACGCGAUGCGGCUUCCAUCGCCCCUGGGCGCCGCGCCACGCUCGGGCACCGGGUCCCGGAGGAGAAAGCGGUUUGGGAAGGGCUUGGAAAACGAAGCCAACAAAGCCGCCCUCCGGCGCCCAGGGGGCUGCUGUGCCCUUGCUGCCGGCACCGCCCGCUGCCCGCGCACCCCCCAGCAGCGGCGGGGGCUUCCUGCACCGCACCCCCCCCACACACACACCNNNNNNNNNNNNNNNNNNNNNNNNNNNNNNNNNNNNNNNNNNNNNNNNNNNNNNNNNNNNNNNNNNNNNNNNNNNNNNNNNNNNNNNNNNNNNNNNNNNNNCCCCUCCCCUCAGCCCCCCCCAGCCCCAGCGCGUGCCCCCCCCGACCCCAACGCCCCCCGCCGCAGACUCACCAUGGGGCGGCCGGGGGGUGCCGGGCUCCGCAGCGGGCAGGGCGGGGGGGGAGCGGAGUUAAGCCGGGGCCGGGCUGCGGGGGGGGCCCCGGGCACGCUUGCGCACAGAGCCGGGCUGGGCUGCGGGGCGGAGGGAGGGAAGGGGCGGGGGGAAGGCGGGGGGGCCGCCGGCAGAGGCGGGGGGUGCGGGGCCGCUGCCCGCGGGGCCCUCCCGGUGCGCGCCUGGAGGCGCCGGGCGGCUCCCCGAGAGCUCUGGGGGUGGCCUGAGGAAGGGGAGGGUGCGCUCAUCCCCCCCCACACACACACACACACCCCGUUAGCAGCCCGAAAAUUAAGCAGGCGGGGCCGCCCGCCCUCGGGGUCUGCGGCGGUGCCCAAACCCGCUGGGCGCCGGGAGCGGGGGGGGCUCCGCGGGGCUCGAAACCGGCCGCCGCCCGCUGCCUUUGCCGGCGGCCCGGCCUGGCUCGCCCGCCACACGCACACCGUCGGGUGCGGGGGGCCCCGGGGCGGCCCCGCCGAGCACCGGGCGCCCGCUGGCUCCGUCCCGGCCGCCCGCGCCUCGCCUCGUCCCCGCGGCACGCCGCGCUCGCCGGCCGGCCCCCCGGGGCUCGUCCCCCCGAGGCUCCGAGGCCAUCCUCCUGCGCCGGUCGGUUUUGCCGGGCCUCUAGUCCCCGAGACGAGCAGCGAUGUUAAUGCUGAUCUCCAGCCGGGCAAUAACCCGAGCCGUCGGCUGCGGAGCGCGGGCUGGCAGCAGGCAGCUCCCGCUGCAGGCAGGGCGCAGCCCCGCCAGGUUUCUUCCUCUUUAUCGCAAGGGCCAGAAAGAGGCCACAGCUUGGAGGGCAACGUCUCCAUCCGAAGACCCGUGUGUCCGGGGCCAACCGCGCCCCCCGGUAAAACACCCGCUGAGCUGACGGCGCUGAUGUUGCCGGGGCUCCCUGAGCAACGGCAUCGAUAUUUGAAGAGCAGCCUUGCCUCGUUCUCUGCUGCCUCAGAAAACAGCCGACACCAACGGCAAAGCUCUAAAGAAAAAAAAAAAAACACAAUUUUUUUGAAAGCGGAACAGCAGGGGAAUGAAUUAAGAGACCACAAAGAUGUGGCCGCCAAAUGCUGCAGCCACCACGGCUGCCUUGGUUCCCUGCUGAUGAUCAGCAGCAGUGCUUGCUUCCACGGAGCCCAGCAGCACCCACGUAACUUCUGGCAGGACGUGUGCAUUAUCCCCUGA
Long non-coding RNA from Anser brachyrhynchus (Pink-footed goose), 2361 nucleotides. The record is from Ensembl. Lineage: Eukaryota; Metazoa; Chordata; Aves; Anseriformes; Anatidae.